This is a long non-coding RNA of Rhagoletis zephyria (snowberry fruit fly), 585 nucleotides long. RefSeq lists it as uncharacterized. The record is from RefSeq and is a predicted model, not a curated record. Lineage: Eukaryota; Metazoa; Arthropoda; Insecta; Diptera; Tephritidae.
GCUAGCGCGAAUCGGUUAUAGGGAAUUUACAUGAUUCAACUUUCACAGCCGACCAACUGCGUUGAAAGCGAUUAGUUGAAAGGCAAUUGUUGCUUUCAACCAAAAAUCGCCUCACGUAAAUUUCCUAUUGGGACCAAAUUCUAUUUUAUGUCGUUUUUGACGCCUAGAUGGCGCUGGGAGACUGUUUCAGAUUGCUUUACUUCUUUCUUUUGGUCUAGUCAGCAACAAUUCUCUUCGUAUAACUCCACAAUGUAAACAACGCAAGUGCGAGCGAGACAAUCACAUCCUAAAGUCAACUGUGAAAAAUCAUAGGAAAAGUUUUUCGACGAAGACGCAGUGAAGCAGUCACGCGAGGCAAACAUCAGCAAGCUGAAUAAUUUUUUCAUUCGAGGUUUGCGUGACGCUCGGACGCAGUGAACAUCCAAGGUUUAACUUUCUUCGUCUUUGGACAAACGGUUUGCUGUGUGCGCGACAUUUUAUGGAGUUUAAUUGCGUUGCUUUGUUUGAUACAACAGGAUUAAUGUGCUAUGCUCCAAGUGUAUAAUAUGCAAUAUUUGUGAAAUUAUCUAAUUUCGGUGUACUUAG